ACUGAACGCUGGCGGCAGGCCUAACACAUGCAAGUCGAGCGGAUGACGGGAGCUUGCUCCUUGACUCAGCGGCGGACGGGUGAGUAAUGCCUAGGAAUCUGCCUGGUAGUGGGGGACAACGUUUCGAAAGGAACGCUAAUACCGCAUACGUCCUACGGGAGAAAGCAGGGGACCUUCGGGCCUUGCGCUAUCAGAUGAGCCUAGGUCGGAUUAGCUAGUUGGUGGGGUAAUGGCUCACCAAGGCGACGAUCCGUAACUGGUCUGAGAGGAUGAUCAGUCACACUGGAACUGAGACACGGUCCAGACUCCUACGGGAGGCAGCAGUGGGGAAUAUUGGACAAUGGGCGAAAGCCUGAUCCAGCCAUGCCGCGUGUGUGAAGAAGGUCUUCGGAUUGUAAAGCACUUUAAGUUGGGAGGAAGGGCAGUAAGCUAAUACCUUGCUGUUUUGACGUUACCGACAGAAUAAGCACUGGCUAACUCUGUGCCAGCCGCCGCCGUAA
RNAcentral lists this ribosomal RNA (500 nucleotides) under uncultured bacterium. Its description in RNAcentral is "partial 16S ribosomal RNA". It matches the Rfam family "Bacterial small subunit ribosomal RNA", at positions 30 to 523 of the family's 1533-position model. The record is from RNAcentral.